This 329-nucleotide unclassified non-coding RNA is filed under the name soil metagenome. Its description in RNAcentral is "partial contains 5.8S ribosomal RNA, internal transcribed spacer 2, and large subunit ribosomal RNA". The stretch from base 1 to 120 matches the Rfam family "5.8S ribosomal RNA", at positions 35 to 154 of the family's 154-position model. The record is from RNAcentral.
GAUGAAGAACGCAGCGAAAUGCGAUAAGUAAUGUGAAUUGCAGAAUUCAGUGAAUCAUCGAAUCUUUGAACGCACAUUGCGCCCCUUGGUAUUCCGAGGGGCAUGCCUGUUCGAGCGUCAUUUCAACCCUCAAGCUCAGCUUGGUAUUGGGCCCCGCCGACCCGGCGGGCCCUAAAGUCAGUGGCGGUGCCGUCCGGCUCCGAGCGUAGUAAUUCUUCUCGCUCUGGAGGUCCGGUCGUGUGCUCGCCAGCAACCCCCAAUUUUUUUCAGGUUGACCUCGGAUCAGGUAGGGAUACCCGCUGAACUUAAGCAUAUCAAUAAGCGGAGGA